UCGAACGAGAGAGAGGAAGCUUGCUUCCUCAAUCGAGUGGCGAACGGGUGACUAUCGCGUGAGGAACCUGCCUCAAAGAGGGGGACAACAGUUGGAAACGACUGCUAAUACCGCAUAGGCCCACAGGUCGGCAUCGACCAGAGGGAAAAGGAGCAAUCCGCUUUGAGAUGGCCUCGCGUCCGAUUAGCUAGUUGGUGAGGUAAUGGCCCACCAAGGCAACGAUCGGUAGCCGGACUGGGAGGUUGAACGGCCACAUUGGGACUGAGACACGGCCCAGACUCCUACGGGAGGCAGCAGUGGGGAAUAUUGCACAAUGGGGGAAACCCUGAUGCAGCGACGCCGCGUGGAGGAAGAAGGUCUUCGGAUUGUAAACUCCUGUUGUUGAGGAAGAUAAUGACGGUACUCAACAAGGAAGUGACGGCUAACUACGUGCCAGCAGCCGCGGUAAAACGUAGGUCACAAGCGUUGUCCGGAAUUACUGGGUGUGAAGGGAGCGCAGGCGGGAAGACAAGUUGGAAGUGAAAUCUAUGGGCUCAACCCAUAAACUGCUUUCAAAACUGUUUUUCUUGAGUAGUGCAGAGGUAGGCGGAAUUCCCGGUGUAGCGGUGGAAUGCGUAGAUAUCGGGAGGAACACCAGUGGCGAAGGCGGCCUACUGGGCACCAACUGACGCUGAGGCUCGAAAGUGUGGGUAGCAAACAGGAUUAGAUACCCUGGUAGUCCACACCGUAAACGAUGAUUACUAGGUGUUGG
RNAcentral lists this ribosomal RNA (751 nucleotides) under uncultured bacterium. Its description in RNAcentral is "bacterial SSU rRNA". It matches the Rfam family "Bacterial small subunit ribosomal RNA", at positions 62 to 826 of the family's 1533-position model. The record is from RNAcentral.